Molecule: ribosomal RNA, 456 nt
Filed under: uncultured bacterium
Lineage: Bacteria
Description: bacterial SSU rRNA
Rfam family: Bacterial small subunit ribosomal RNA
Source: RNAcentral
AGAGUUUGAUCCUGGCUCAGAUUGAACGCUGGCGGCAUGCCUUACACAUGCAAGUCGAACGGCAGCACGGGAGCAAUCCUGGUGGCGAGUGGCGAACGGGUGAGUAAAGUAUCGGAACGUGCCCAGUCGUGGGGGAUAACGUAGCGAGAGUUACGCUAAUACCGCAUACGAUCUAUGGAUGAAAGCGGGGGAUCGCAAGACCUCGCGCGAUUGGAGCGGCUGAUAUCAGAUUAGGUAGUUGGUGGGGUAAAGGCUCACCAAGCCGACGAUCUGUAGCUGGUCUGAGAGGACGACCAGCCACACUGGGACUGAGACACGGCCCAGACUCCUACGGGAGGCAGCAGUGGGGAAUUUUGGACAAUGGGCGCAAGCCUGAUCCAGCCAUGCCGCGUGCAGGAUGAAGGCCUUCGGGUUGUAAACUGCUUUUGUACGGAACGAAAAGGUUUGGCCUAAUAA